Molecule: small RNA, 167 nt
Filed under: Arabidopsis thaliana (thale cress)
Lineage: Eukaryota; Viridiplantae; Streptophyta; Magnoliopsida; Brassicales; Brassicaceae
Description: ATSL041750
Source: RNAcentral
CUCUCCUGGUUAUAAUUGUUGUUAGAAUCAGUUUGUUAAGGUGAGUGCGUGACCAUGAGCUUAUUUGAGCGAUUGGUUUGUAUGACUUGUUUUGUGUGAUGAUAUGUAGGUGUGGUGAAUGUGUUUUUGGGUGAACUGUUCAAUGACUGGUCUGUAAUAUUUUAUUU